This is a long non-coding RNA of Anas platyrhynchos (mallard), 2143 nucleotides long. RefSeq lists it as uncharacterized. NCBI's taxonomy places the organism in Eukaryota, Metazoa, Chordata, Aves, Anseriformes, Anatidae. The record is from RefSeq and is a predicted model, not a curated record.
UGUUCACGCUGGGAGGAAGCUAUGGGAAGGGCGCUGGGUGAUUAUUAACAAGGGAGGGAUUUUCUUUCCCCUUUGUAUCCUCUCUGCAAAGCUUGCAGGUGCUGCCUUGACCCACUGCAGAAGUGAGUUUUCACCUGGAGGGCUUUGAGCCUCUUCCAGGCCAGCCAGAGGGGAUUUCCAGGCAGAGGGGUGCAGGGCUAAGGCUGAGGCACUAGGGCCAGCCAGGAUAACUGGUGUGGACAGCUUGCGUCAAACGAGUUCACCUGAGCCAGGCAGCUGCUGAGUCGGCAGGGCUGGGGAUCUCGUUCCCAGCAGCUGCGGGCAGGGCAGGAGGAGCUCUGCUCCCUCCUCCGGUCCUUGCUUGCUCGCUGGGCAGGGUUUGGGCUUUGGCAGCUGACCCAGGGAGCGCAGAGCUCCUGCCCCACUCCACAGCCUGCAGAGCACCCCAUGCCCUGAGGGUGCCCGUCUUGGGCGAUGGGGUGCUGUGGGGUGCAUCUGUGCUGGCAGCUGGGAUGAUAUCCACGUACCUCCUCCGUGGGUUUCGGAGCACAUCCCGUUGUUGAGGCACGGAUUGCUGCUGCAGGCACCGGUCGGGGAGCAGCACUGCUUUAUCCCCACCUCCUCCACCACUUCCUUGGAUUGCCCUUUCCCAGGCAGGAGGACCACUUCCCUGCCGUUGAUCGCAAGCACAUCCAGGCAGCCCCUGAACCCUCGUGUGAGUCUCUGGGACUGGAGGGGUUGCCGGAGGCCCCCAAAAAGCAGGUCUCGUCUGCCCUGGGAGAUGCCACAGGUCCCUGGCAGCUGGAGAGAGGCGUUCCCCAGGCCGUCGAUGAGCAGGCGGACAGACGUGUUCUUCACCUCCAGGAAGACCGAGUGCCACUCGCCGUCGCUCACGAGGCGCGAGGAGGAGAGGUUCCCAGGGUAGCUGCCCCGACAGCUGUAGCCGAGUGCUCUGUUGAUAAAAGCUCUCCUUCACAGAAGCCAAGAGCCCAUGGAGAAGGAGAAAUGACAGAACAAGACAUUCACAGAAAACCUGCACAGCUUGCUGCUGGGAAUGCCAAGCAGAUGAGAUCUCCACUGGGGGACAUUAGAGACGACGAGUGGCGAUGCUUGGAAGAGGCUAGAGCAAGAGGAGUGAUCAUGGGCUACACCAAACUGUAGAGGAACCUACAUCUGGUAUGAUCGGGCUGCUCUGGAGGGGCCAAAUGCAGAGUGGGACAUCAGUUCACUCUUAGAGAAGUCUGUGGCACAAACAAAGCUCAGUGAGAGGAGAGUGCACACACUGAAAGAAGCAGGGAUGACAAAGGGAAGGGAGAACUGGAUGCAGCCGGCACGUGCUGUGGAAGGGCCUCAGGGCAACGUGUGUGUGAAUCCCUUUGCACGAUUGGCAGGCGCACCAGAGAGCUUUGUCACUUUGCUUUAUCUGGAGGAAGGUGAUUUCACUUCAGAUGGGUCUGUAGAUUGGGCUUAUCGAUUUCUGGGGCUGGGAGACAGCUGAGAACUCGAUUCCCUGGAGCAAGAGCUGAUGGACUGCCAAGUCCUUCCCAGCGUGCCUGGCUUGCCAUCCUGUCCCUGCGUCCUGCUUCUGAAUAUCGGUAGAGCUUAGCAACUGGAAGAGCGAUGACAUGCAUACCCCUGGGAGAAGCUGUCCUCUUUACCAAAUCUUCAAACUGUCAGCUAAAAUUCUUUCACAGCUUUGUCUCAUACCUAGAACAGGGCAGUCCCCAAAGCUUAAAAUCCUGAGGGCUUCCUUCAGUCAUUCAGGCCAGACAGACCCUUCUUGAGGAGCUACAUUUCUCUCAUCAGCCCUUUGCAGCAUGGCUUAAAGUCCCAGCUGGAGGUGGGCACAGGACAUGGAGAUGAUGUUUCUCUGCUUUUGUCCGUAAUGGUUAGGGAUGUGACAGCAGGAACAACACAUACUUUGGGUUGGUCUCUGGGUGUUGGCCACUGCACAGCUUCCUGUCUGUGUCGGUCUUUUGUAGCAGUGGGAAGAAAAGUGUUUCAAAAUAGGAAGAUGGGAUUGCGAAACCAUGAGAAGGGACGAGGGAGCUCGGGGACAGGAUGAACACUUGCAGGUGGAUUUGCAGUGUGUAGAUCACAAUGUGAUUAGUCUCGGGGAUAAGUCUCAGUAAGCUGAUAAGAA